CUUCAUUUAGAGGAAGUAAAAGUCGUAACAAGGUUUCCGUAGGUGAACCUGCGGAAGGAUCAUUAACAAAGAUUGGGUGAGCAAAAAGGCCUGGACAAAUGUUCCAGGGGCUCACAUCAAUAAUCCCCCACCUGUGCACUUAUUGAAAGGAUGUCCUUCUGAUCAUUUUUGGUCAGGAGAAGAAAAUUAUUGCCUGAUAUUUUGACUGAACUUUUAAAAUAAUAAAUACAACUUUCAACAACGGAUCUCUUGGCUCUC
This 258-nucleotide unclassified non-coding RNA is filed under the name fungal sp. RNAcentral describes it as "partial internal transcribed spacer region". The stretch from base 1 to 65 matches the Rfam family "Eukaryotic small subunit ribosomal RNA", at positions 1767 to 1831 of the family's 1831-position model. Lineage: Eukaryota; Fungi. The record is from RNAcentral.